Molecule: small nucleolar RNA, 131 nt
Organism: Arvicanthis niloticus (Nile rat)
Lineage: Eukaryota; Metazoa; Chordata; Mammalia; Rodentia; Muridae
Product: small nucleolar RNA SNORA17
Source: RefSeq, a predicted model, not a curated record
UUUAUCACUAGAGGCCUGCAUGUGUGACUGCUGUGUCACAUGUGUGUCAGUAAGUGGAAGAGAGAGGACAGGCUAUGUCUAUGCUCAGUGUUCUGAGAUACCAACAUCUGAAUGAUUAGUAGCCUGAUAUU